Molecule: long non-coding RNA, 231 nt
Organism: Amphimedon queenslandica
Lineage: Eukaryota; Metazoa; Porifera; Demospongiae; Haplosclerida; Niphatidae
Exons: 2
Source: RefSeq, a predicted model, not a curated record
UCUUUCUCUUUCCUUCCUAUAUAGGAUUCUGUCUCUCAUGUUCUUUGUCCUUUUGUGUUAACACAAGCUUAUAGUAUCAUUUUGGGUCACAGAUGCAUUGCUUGUCAAGAUUCAAGAUCCCAUGAAAUCCACCUGCUCGUUAUUUUUGGCAAAACAUGUGGGAACAGAACAAUCCUAACAACAUGAUGGUAAGACACAAUUCACAUUACAGUGCAUGUUUUAUUCAGUGCA